This 253-nucleotide ribosomal RNA is filed under the name uncultured bacterium. RNAcentral's name for it is "partial 16S ribosomal RNA". It matches the Rfam family "Bacterial small subunit ribosomal RNA", at positions 524 to 776 of the family's 1533-position model. The record is from RNAcentral.
UACAGAGGGGGCAAGCGUUGUUCGGAAUUACUGGGCGUAAAGGGCGCGUAGGCGGCCUUCUAAGUCGAACGUGAAAUCCCCGGGCUCAACCCGGGAACUGCGUCCGAUACUGGAAGGCUUGAAUCCGGGGGAGGGAUGCGGAAUUCCAGGUGUAGCGGUGAAAUGCGUAAAUAUCUGGAGGAACACCGGUGGCGAAGGCGGCAUCCUGGACCGGCAUUGACGCUGAGGCGCGAAAGCCAGGGGAGCAAACGGG